AAAGCCGUAUGAGGUGAAAGUUUCAUGUACGGUUUGGAGCGGGGGAAAAGUUAGAGAUUAUUUCAAAUACUUACCUAU
Molecule: non-coding RNA, 78 nt
Filed under: insect gut metagenome
Source: RNAcentral